This 970-nucleotide unclassified non-coding RNA is filed under the name Hevea brasiliensis (rubber tree). The record is from RNAcentral. Lineage: Eukaryota; Viridiplantae; Streptophyta; Magnoliopsida; Malpighiales; Euphorbiaceae.
AUACCAUGGCUACCCUUGUUGUUCCUCAGAAUGUUUCUGUUGUUGAAGAUGCAGAAAAUCUCAGAAAAGCUUUUGAAGGAUGGGGGACAAAUGAGAAGGUUAUAAUUUCAGUUCUUGCGCAUAGAAAUGCAGCUCAAAGGAAACAGAUCAGGCUAGCUUAUUGGGACCUUUACCAAGAAGAUCUUGUUAAGCGUCUUGAAUCUGAGAUCAAGGGAGAUUUUGAGAGAGCUGUGUACAGAUGGAUAUUGGACCCAGAAGACAGAGAUGCAGUAUUAGCGAAUGUGGCUCUAAAGAAAUCUUCUGAUUAUCAUGUGAUCGUUGAAAUUGCUUGCGUUCGAUCUUCAGAAGAGCUCUUGGCUGUGAGGAGGGCUUACCAUGCUCGCUACAAGCAUUCCUUAGAAGAAGAUGUGGCAGUUCAUACCACCGGCGAUAUCAGGAAGCUCUUGCUAGGGUUGGUGACAGCUUUUAGGUAUGAAGGUGCUGAAGUAAAUUCAAGAUUGGCCAAAUCUGAAGCUGAUAUUCUUCAUGAUGCGAUCAAGGACAAGAAGAUUAACCAUGAUGAAGUGAUUAGGAUCUUAACUACAAGGAGCAAGACACAGCUCAUGGCUACCUUCAACAGCUUCAAAGACAGCCAGGGCACUUCCAUCACUAAGGUUCUGUUGGGUGAGACUGCUGAUAACGAGUACAAACGAUUGCUCCGCAUAGCCAUUCGAUGCAUCAACGAACCUAUUAAGUACUAUGAGAAGGUUUUGAGGAAUGCAUUCAAAAAGUUUGGGAAUGAUGAGGAUGCAAUUACUAGAGUGAUUGUCACAAGGGCAGAGAAGGACUUGCAACUAAUCAAGGAGCUUUACUACAGCAGGAACAGUGUGCCUCUUGAUCAAGCAGUGGCCAAGGAAACUUCUGGGGAUUACAAGGAUUUCCUGCUUGCUCUGCUAGGAAAGCAGGAUUAAGAUUAGUAUCUUAAUCAUUU